AAGAACAUUUCGAAAUCAGUAUGGUUAUUCUCGUAAAUGAAAUUAGAUAAAUUCUUCCCAGAAUCGAAGAUACAAGUUUAAGUUUAAAUUAACCCUUACAUGAACAGCUAGGAUAAAUAGUGAGAUCGAUAUUUGUAUCUACAAUUCCCCUCUUAGAUCAUAUCAUGAUGUACCUUACGGAAAAUAUCCAUGGGAGGCCUGCAGCAGAGAGACAAAAGGAGGCAUAUUCAGACGUGCUAAUCACGUCUGCGGGACUUUCAUUAUUUCUUCACCUCGAUUUCCCCCAUUUGCUCUGUGCCAUAGGUUUUCCCUUUAAGAGGAGUUCGAGCUGUCAAUUUUCAGCUUUUUCAAUUAUCUGUUGAAUACAUCUUUUAAGCGUACAAGUUAAAUAUUUCAAACAGCUGACAUGUUAACCAUUUUUAAACAGACUGACCAUCACGUUAUCUUUAGCUUGAGCCUUGGGUCAAUACAGGCAAAGUGUAUUAUUCCCAACAACGGGAAUAUUAUUAUUAUUCUAAUUCAUAAUGUAAGCUCAUAUAGUCAAAACGGGAAUAAUAUCUAUCCCCCUCUUUGGACCAGGGUCUUGGAUUACCAGUCGACCCAGUGAUCUGGGGCCAGGUCAAAAAACCCCAGUGGCAAAAACUCAUAUUUGAGAAAAAAAACACAUCUGGGGAAACCGUGAGUGGGGGCCAUGACUGUGUAGACAUGUCAUCCCCUCACGUUGACAGCAUUAGCGACUUAUAAAACCUGCACUUGUAAGUAAAUAGCUCGGGUAUCGGGAUUGGGAAACACUUCUUGAUUAGUUUGAAAAGGCCAAUUUACAUAUUAAAUCAUGAGAACUUAUAAUCAGCUUGAAAUUCUAACAAUAAUCCCAGUCAUGACCUUGCAUCCUAUGUCUCCUAAUCACAUCCCUAUUUCGACGGUCCAGUCAUAUCCACACUUAAUACAUGGGAAUCCAUCCUUGGUACACUCAACAUACAUCAAUGACAC
Pelobates cultripes (western spadefoot toad) is the source of this 990-nucleotide non-coding RNA. The record is from the annotation of a GenBank genome assembly. Lineage: Eukaryota; Metazoa; Chordata; Amphibia; Anura; Pelobatidae.